This 253-nucleotide ribosomal RNA is filed under the name uncultured bacterium. RNAcentral's name for it is "partial 16S ribosomal RNA". It matches the Rfam family "Bacterial small subunit ribosomal RNA", at positions 524 to 776 of the family's 1533-position model. The record is from RNAcentral.
UACGUAGGGGGCAAGCGUUAUCCGGAUUUACUGGGUGUAAAGGGAGCGUAGACGGCACUGCAAGUCUGGAGUGAAAGCCCGAGGCCCAACCACGGGACUGCUCUGGAAACUGCGGGGCUGGAGUGCAGGAGGGGUAAGCGGAAUUCCUAGUGUAGCGGUGAAAUGCGUAGAUAUUAGGAGGAACACCGGUGGCGAAGGCGGCUUACUGGACUGUAACUGACACUGAGGCACGAAAGUGUGGGGAGCAAACAGG